This 413-nucleotide ribosomal RNA is filed under the name uncultured bacterium. Its description in RNAcentral is "bacterial SSU rRNA". It matches the Rfam family "Bacterial small subunit ribosomal RNA", at positions 340 to 748 of the family's 1533-position model. The record is from RNAcentral.
UACGGGAGGCAGCAGUGGGGAAUAUUGCACAAUGGGCGCAAGCCUGAUGCAGCCAUGCCGCGUGUAUGAAAAAGGCCUUCGGGUUGUAAAGUACUUUCAGUCGUGAGGAAGGUGUUAAGGUUAAUAACCUUAGCAAUUGACGUUAGCGACAGAAGAAGCACCGGCUAACUCCGUGCCAGCAGCCGCGGUAAUACGGAGGGUGCGAGCGUUAAUCGGAAUUACUGGGCGUAAAGGGCACGCAGGCGGUUAAUUAAGUUGGAUGUGAAAUCCCCGGGCUUAACCUGGGAAUGGCAUUCAAGACUGGUUAGCUAGAGUCUUGUAGAGGGGGUAGAAUUCCAUGUGUAGCGGUGAAAUGCGUAGAGAUGUGGAGGAAUACCGGUGGCGAAGGCGGCCCCUGGACAAAGACUGACCCG